Molecule: ribosomal RNA, 253 nt
Filed under: uncultured bacterium
Lineage: Bacteria
Description: partial 16S ribosomal RNA
Rfam family: Bacterial small subunit ribosomal RNA
Source: RNAcentral
UACGGAGGGGGCUAGCGUUGUUCGGAAUUACUGGGCGUAAAGCGCGCGUAGGCGGAUUGGAAAGUCAGAGGUGAAAUUCCAGGGCUCAACCUUGGAACUGCCUUUGAAACUACCCGUCUGGAGUUCGAGAGAGGUGAGUGGAAUUCCGAGUGUAGAGGUGAAAUUCGUAGAUAUUCGGAGGAACACCAGUGGCGAAGGCGGCUCACUGGCUCGAUACUGACGCUGAGGUGCGAAAGCGUGGGGAGCAAACAGG